RNAcentral lists this ribosomal RNA (253 nucleotides) under uncultured bacterium. Its description in RNAcentral is "partial 16S ribosomal RNA". It matches the Rfam family "Bacterial small subunit ribosomal RNA", at positions 524 to 776 of the family's 1533-position model. The record is from RNAcentral.
UACGUAGGCAGCAAGCGUUGUUCGGAAUUACUGGGCGUAAAGAGUGUGUAGGCGGUGCUCCAAGUCUGGUGUGAAAUCUCCCGGCUUAACUGGGAGGGUGCGCCGAAAACUGGAAGGCUUGAGUAUGGGAGAGGUAAGCGGAAUUCCUGGUGUAGCGGUGAAAUGCGUAGAUAUCAGGAGGAACACCUGCGGUGUAGACGGCUUACUGGACCAUAACUGACGCUGAGGCACGAAAGCGUGGGUAGCAAACAGG